RNAcentral lists this transfer RNA (60 nucleotides) under Sulfurovum sp. FS08-3. Its description in RNAcentral is "tRNA-Val". It matches the Rfam family "tRNA", at positions 7 to 64 of the family's 71-position model. Rfam says of the family: Transfer RNA (tRNA) molecules are approximately 80 nucleotides in length. Their secondary structure includes four short double-helical elements and three loops (D, anti-codon, and T loops). Lineage: Bacteria; Pseudomonadati; Campylobacterota; Epsilonproteobacteria; Campylobacterales; Sulfurovaceae. The record is from RNAcentral.
UUAGCUCAGUUGGUAGAGCGCUACCCUUACAAGGUAGAUGUCACAAGUUCGAGUCUUGUA